This 700-nucleotide ribosomal RNA is filed under the name Allomuricauda sp. M64. RNAcentral's name for it is "bacterial SSU rRNA". It matches the Rfam family "Bacterial small subunit ribosomal RNA", at positions 401 to 1104 of the family's 1533-position model. Lineage: Bacteria; Pseudomonadati; Bacteroidota; Flavobacteriia; Flavobacteriales; Flavobacteriaceae. The record is from RNAcentral.
GUGCAGGAUGACUGCCCUAUGGGUUGUAAACUGCUUUUAUACGGGAAGAAACCUCCCCUUGCGAGGGGAGCUGACGGUACCGUAAGAAUAAGGACCGGCUAACUCCGUGCCAGCAGCCGCGGUAAUACGGAGGGUCCGAGCGUUAUCCGGAAUCAUUGGGUUUAAAGGGUCCGUAGGCGGGCCUGUAAGUCAGGGGUGAAAGUCUGUGGCUCAACCAUAGAAUUGCCUUUGAUACUGCAGGUCUUGAGUCAUGGUGGGGUUGCCGGAACAUGUGGUGUAGCGGUGAAAUGCAUAGAUAUCACAUAGAACACCGAUCGCGAAGGCAGGUGACCAACCAUGUACUGACGCUGAUGGACGAAAGCGUGGGUAGCGAACGGGAUUAGAUACCCCGGUAGUCCACGCCGUAAACGAUGGAUACUAGCUGUGGGGACUUCGGUCUCCGUGGCCAAGCGAAAGUGAUAAGUAUCCCACCUGGGGAGUACGUUCGCAAGAAUGAAACUCAAAGGAAUUGACGGGGGCCCGCACAAGCGGUGGAGCAUGUGGUUUAAUUCGAUGAUACGCGAGGAACCUUACCAGGGCUUAAAUGCAGGCUGCAUGGGGUGGAGACACCCCUUUCUUCGGACCGCCUGCAAGGUGCUGCAUGGUUGUCGUCAGCUCGUGCCGUGAGGUGUCAGGUUAAGUCCUAUAACGAGCGCAACCC